Non-coding RNA from Pelobates cultripes (western spadefoot toad), 204 nucleotides. Lineage: Eukaryota; Metazoa; Chordata; Amphibia; Anura; Pelobatidae. The record is from the annotation of a GenBank genome assembly.
AGAGAUUCGGGCUCAGCUAGUCGAGCAACAGAAAUGUUUGGAACAACAGACAGAAAUGAGAGUUCAACUGCUUAAUGACCUGCAGGACUUCUUCCGCAAAAAAGCAGAGAUUGAGACAGAGUAUUCCCGAAAUCUUGAGAAACUCGCAGAGAGGUUCAUGGCCAAAACAAGGAGCACAAAAGAUCAUCAACAAUACAAGUGAGA